UAAGGAAUAUUGGUCAAUGGACGCAAGUCUGAACCAGCCAUGCCGCGUGAAGGAUGAAGGUCCUCUGGAUUGUAAACUUCUUUUAUCUGGGACGAAACACUGGUUUUCUAACCAGCUUGACGGUACCAGAGGAAUAAGCACCGGCUAACUCCGUGCCAGCAGCCGCGGUAAUACGGAGGGUGCAAGCGUUAUCCGGAUUCACUGGGUUUAAAGGGUGCGUAGGCGGGUAUGUAAGUCCGUGGUGAAAUCCUGCAGCUUAACUGCAGAACUGCCGUGGAUACUAUAUAUCUUGAAUGUUGUUGAGGUUAGUAGAAUAUGUCAUGUAGCGGUGAAAUGCUUAGAGAUGACAUAGAAUACCGAUUGCGAAGGCAGCUGGCUAAACAAAUAUUGACGCUGAGGCACGAAAGCGUGGGUAGCAAACAGGAUUAGAUACCCGCGUAGUCC
This 444-nucleotide ribosomal RNA is filed under the name uncultured bacterium. RNAcentral's name for it is "bacterial SSU rRNA". It matches the Rfam family "Bacterial small subunit ribosomal RNA", at positions 355 to 796 of the family's 1533-position model. The record is from RNAcentral.